RNAcentral lists this ribosomal RNA (213 nucleotides) under Triticum aestivum (bread wheat). RNAcentral's name for it is "partial small subunit ribosomal RNA". The record is from RNAcentral. Lineage: Eukaryota; Viridiplantae; Streptophyta; Magnoliopsida; Poales; Poaceae.
AUGUUUGAUGCAUGGCCUAUCUUCCUUCGUGCUUAUACAUUCUGUUAUGUACCUAACUUAUAUUGGAAGCCUCUGCAGAAGAAGAGCAGGGAGAACAUCAACAACAAGAUGCAGCUGGUGAUGAAGAGCAGCAAGUACACGAUCGGCUACAAGACCGUCCUCUAGACGCUGCGCAGCUCCAAGGGUAUGGAUCUUUUUGUCACUGUUGAUUGA